Molecule: ribosomal RNA, 449 nt
Filed under: uncultured bacterium
Lineage: Bacteria
Description: partial 16S ribosomal RNA
Rfam family: Bacterial small subunit ribosomal RNA
Source: RNAcentral
UCCAGACUCCUACGGGAGGCAGCAGUGGGGAAUAUUGGGCAAUGGGCGCAAGCCUGACCCAGCAACGCCGCGUGAAGGAAGAAGGCUUUCGGGUUGUAAACUUCUUUUAAGAGGGAAGAGAAGAAGACGGUACCUCUUGAAUAAGCCACGGCUAACUACGUGCCAGCAGCCGCGGUAAUACGUAGGUGGCAAGCGUUGUCCGGAUUUACUGGGUGUAAAGGGCGUGCAGCCGGGCUGACAAGUCAGAUGUGAAAUCCCGCGGCUCAACCGCGGAACUGCAUUUGAAACUGUCAGUCUUGAGUACCGGAGAGGUCAUCGGAAUUCCUUGUGUAGCGGUGAAAUGCGUAGAUAUUAGGAGGAACACCAGUGGCGAAGGCGGUCAACUGGACAGCAACUGACGCUGAGGCGCGAAAGCGUGGGGAGCAAACAGGAUUAGAUACCCGAGUACC